Biomphalaria pfeifferi is the source of this 69-nucleotide non-coding RNA. Lineage: Eukaryota; Metazoa; Mollusca; Gastropoda; Planorbidae. The record is from the annotation of a GenBank genome assembly.
GCGUAGUGUAGUGGUUAUCACAUCUCUCAAACACGCAGAAGGUCCUGGGUUCGUAACCCAGCUAAAACA